This 593-nucleotide long non-coding RNA is filed under the name Zostera marina. RNAcentral describes it as "long non-coding RNA (ZMAR_LNC001569)". Lineage: Eukaryota; Viridiplantae; Streptophyta; Magnoliopsida; Alismatales; Zosteraceae. The record is from RNAcentral.
UUUGGCUGGAUGAUACCCGUUGCUCAGACCUAGCUUACGACCCGCGAGUCUAAGUGAUGGUUACAAAAUCCAAUUUACGUCCAGAGUGGCUAAAUUACGAUCACAAGUUUAGUUUACGAUUUAUGAGUCCAAAGUGCGACUUAAAAAUCUAAAUCGGACUCUCAUUUACGAAUCUAGCCCCGAGAUUCUAAAUUUACGACUACAAUCAACGAUACCCUCAUUUUCACUCAAGGAUCAUUUUGUCGCUUUGGCCUUAAUGAUCCUAUCCCAUCUUGUCGAUAUGGCCUUGAUGAGGAUCGAGAGUCACUCUGUCGCUAUAAUCGGAGCUUAGCUAAAACAUCAGGGUUCAAAUCUAGAAUUGUAGUCCUAAAUUGUAGUCUCUAUGCUAGUACAAAUUACAAAAUAAAAUAGUUAGAUUUUAUCUUUGUAAUUCUCAUUUCUAAAAGUCAGUAAAAGAUGACACUCUUUCGAAAUCACCUACCUAUGACUCUAACUAAUACCCUACCUUAGAAAUCUAUUUUGUCGCUUUGGCCUUAAUAAAUCCAGGUCCAUUUUGUCGCUUUGGCUUUAAUGGACCAAGAAUUAUUUUGUCG